UGUGGCUCAGUGGUAGAGCACUUGCCUAGCAUGCGUGAGGCACUGGGUUCAAUCCCUGGCA
Molecule: transfer RNA, 61 nt
Filed under: Ictidomys tridecemlineatus (thirteen-lined ground squirrel)
Lineage: Eukaryota; Metazoa; Chordata; Mammalia; Rodentia; Sciuridae
Description: Spermophilus tridecemlineatus (thirteen-lined ground squirrel) tRNA
Rfam family: tRNA
About the family: Transfer RNA (tRNA) molecules are approximately 80 nucleotides in length. Their secondary structure includes four short double-helical elements and three loops (D, anti-codon, and T loops).
Source: Rfam by way of RNAcentral